GACAACAUUCUCUUCACGUAGGAAUUAUUUAAUGGGUACAACAGGAAAGGUGUAUCCCCUCGGUGUGUAUUAAAAGUUGACCAGAGGAAGGCUUAUGACACAAUGGAAUGGUGCUUUAUUGAGAGGCUGAUGCUGGACAUGGGUUUCCCCUACAAAUUUACAAACUGAAUACUGGAAUGCAUCUCUUCAUUAACAUAUUCAUUAAGUCUCAAUGGAGGGUUGACAAAACCGUUUAAAGGAAAAGAGGUAUACAGCAAGGCGACCCAAUGUCCCCAUACCUCUUUGUAAUUGUCAUGGAAUAUUUGAACAGGGAACUCAAGAAUAUGAUGGAAAGAAAGGAAUUCAAAUUUCAUCCUAGAUGUAAGAAGCUAGGAGUGUCACAUAUAUGAUUUGGGGAUUAUCUACUACUAUUCUGCAAGGCUGAUACCCAAUAUGUAAGACUUAUAAAACAGACGCUCCAAAACUUUGCGGAAACAUCAGGAUUGCAAGCAAAUGCAGACGAAAGUGCAGUCUACAUAGCAGGGGUAUCAAACUGGACAAAGGAGGAAAUCUUGCACGAACUGGACUUCCCUGAAGGGUCUCUACCCUUCAAAUAUCUUGGUGUUCCCAUGGAUUCCAAAAAAUUAACAGUUACAUAGUGUUGGCCAAUAGUAGAGAAGAUAACACAGAAACCUUGGUGUCCCAUGGACUCCAAAAAAUUAACAGUUACACAGAGUUGGCCGAUAGUAGAGAAGAUAACACAGAAAAUCAACUGCUGGAUAUCAAGACUUCUAUCAUAUGCAGGUAGGCUCCAGUUGAUCAGGACAGUAUUAUUUGGAAUGCAAUCGUACUGGACUCAAAGCUUCUUGCUUCCAAAAAAGGUAAUGAAGAUGAUGAAGAAAUAUUCAGAUCCUUUUUAUGGACUGGAGCAGCAAAUGUGUCCAAAAAGGCAUUAGUCGCCUGGGAAACUAUAUGUCUACCAUAUAGUGCUGGGGGCCUAAAUGUUUUGAACUUACCAAUCUGGAAUAAGGCAGCUGUAGCAAAGCAUCUGUGGGCAGUAACAAUGAAGAAGGACAGCCUCUGGAUCAAAUGGGUGCACGCAUACUACAUUAAGAACAAUGCUGUAGAGGAUGUACCAACUCCUAAAACAGCGCCUGGGCUGUGAGAAAGAUAUUUGAAACCAGAUCACUGAUAACAAAUAUACAGGGUAUACAGGGGGGCCUGAAAUGUCGAUUGAUCCAGCUACAGAGGGGAGACUGUUCAACAUCAACAAACUCUGCAGACUCCAGCUCCCUCAAACCCCAAAAGUACAAUGGAAAAGCAUAGUACUGCAGCCAAAAGUACACCCAAGAUUCAAAUUUAUCGUCUGGCUAGCUUUGCGCAGAAGACUGGCAAUAGUGGAGCGGCUAAUGCACUUUGGGAUACAGAUUCCGCAACAAUGUGUAUUUUUCA
This 1431-nucleotide long non-coding RNA is filed under the name Nicotiana benthamiana. RNAcentral's name for it is "long non-coding RNA (NBEN_LNC020320)". The record is from RNAcentral. Lineage: Eukaryota; Viridiplantae; Streptophyta; Magnoliopsida; Solanales; Solanaceae.